GUCCACGCCGUAAACGAUGAGAACUUGACGUCGGUUUGCUCUGCGAAUCGGUGUCGUAGCUAACGCGAUAAGUUCUCCGCCUGGGGAGUACGGCCGCAAGGUUGAAACUCAAAGGAAUUGACGGGGGCCCCGCACAAGCGGUGGAGUAUGUGGUUUAAUUCGAUGCAACGCGAAGAACCUUACCUGGUCUUGACAUCUAUGGAAGUCUGCAGAGAUGCGGAUGUGCCUUCGGGAACCAUAAGACAGGUGCUGCAUGGCUGUCGU
RNAcentral lists this ribosomal RNA (264 nucleotides) under uncultured bacterium. RNAcentral's name for it is "partial 16S ribosomal RNA". It matches the Rfam family "Bacterial small subunit ribosomal RNA", at positions 793 to 1055 of the family's 1533-position model. The record is from RNAcentral.